UAAAUUACAGCAUCAAUUGUCAGCUGCCUCACAAACUGUCUUUUGUGGCUGACAUUCCCUUUCAUUUACAGCUUCUUUCACAGAAUCCCUUUGUUUGAAUUACUGCACAGCCACCUUUUCAAUCAUUUUCUCUACUCUGACAAGUUCACGUGUCCUCUGUGUAUCCCUCUUCUCAUCCUCUUCUUCUCCGUCGUUUCUGUCUGCCUCUGUUGAAGAUGAGAUGAUAGUGCUGGCAGUUUGCUCGUGAGAUGUGUGAGAGACUCGAUGCUGGCUAAAGGAAUAAGAGUGUGCGCUUGACAACAGGCCAACGAUAAUGAAGAGAUCCAGAGUGAGAGCCCUCAGUGGUGGUCCUCUGAACUCACUGGAGCUGGUGUGGAGAUGUGUGACCUGCUGAGGAGAGGAGAUCCUUUAAAAAGAAACCAAUUACCAUUACCCUGGUCAGCAUGCAGGUUCAGCUGCACAGCACAAGCUAUACAUGCAAAUGAUUAACAUAUUAAUAAAGCUUUUAUCAAGUAAAAUGCCUGCAAA
This is a long non-coding RNA of Micropterus salmoides (largemouth bass), 528 nucleotides long. RefSeq lists it as uncharacterized. The record is from RefSeq and is a predicted model, not a curated record. Lineage: Eukaryota; Metazoa; Chordata; Actinopteri; Centrarchiformes; Centrarchidae. The transcript has 2 exons.